This 253-nucleotide ribosomal RNA is filed under the name uncultured bacterium. RNAcentral describes it as "partial 16S ribosomal RNA". It matches the Rfam family "Bacterial small subunit ribosomal RNA", at positions 524 to 776 of the family's 1533-position model. The record is from RNAcentral.
UACGAAGGGGGCUAGCGUUGUUCGGAAUUACUGGGCGUAAAGGGCGCGUAGGCGGCUUGGCAAGUUGGGCGUGAAAGGCCUGGGCUUAACCCGGGAAAUGCGUUCGAUACUGCCGAGCUAGAGUGUGGGAGAGGAUGGCGGAAUUCCCAGUGUAGAGGUGAAAUUCGUAGAUAUUGGGAAGAACACCAGUGGCGAAGGCGGCCAUCUGGACCACAACUGACGCUUAGGCGCGAAAGCGUGGGGAGCAAACAGG